UACAGGGGGGGCAAGCGUUGUUCGGAAUUACUGGGCGUAAAGGGCGCGUAGGCGGCCGCCUAAGUCAGACGUGAAAUCCCUCGGCUCAACCGGGGAACUGCGUCUGAUACUGGGUGGCUUGAAUUCGGGAGAGGGAUGCGGAAUUCCAGGUGUAGCGGUGAAAUGCGUAGAUAUCUGGAGGAACACCGGUGGCGAAGGCGGCAUCCUGGACCGAGAUUGACGCUGAGACGCGAAAGCGUGGGGAGCGAACAGG
This 253-nucleotide ribosomal RNA is filed under the name uncultured bacterium. RNAcentral's name for it is "partial 16S ribosomal RNA". It matches the Rfam family "Bacterial small subunit ribosomal RNA", at positions 524 to 776 of the family's 1533-position model. The record is from RNAcentral.